This 774-nucleotide ribosomal RNA is filed under the name uncultured Neocallimastigales. Its description in RNAcentral is "partial large subunit ribosomal RNA". It matches the Rfam family "Eukaryotic large subunit ribosomal RNA", at positions 20 to 616 of the family's 3401-position model. Lineage: Eukaryota; Fungi; Neocallimastigomycota; Neocallimastigomycetes; Neocallimastigales. The record is from RNAcentral.
UACUAGAGUAGCACUCGCAUAUCAAUAAGCGGAGGAAAAGAAACUAACAAGGAUUCCCCUAGUAACGGCGAGUGAAGCGGGAAGAGCUCAAAUUUGAAAUCUUAAAGGGUUUCCCUUUACGAAUUGUAGUUUAAAGAAGUGUUUUCUGUUGAGGUUUUGGUAAAAGUUCUUUGGAAUAGGACAUCAUAGAGGGUGAGAAUCCCGUAUUUGACCUUUACUUUCAACUUUGUGAUACACUUUCAAAGAGUCGGAUUGUUUGGGAAUGCAGUCCAAAAUGGGUGGUAAAUUUCAUCUAAAGCUAAAUAUUGGCGAGAGACCGAUAGCGAACAAGUACCGUGAGGGAAAGAUGAAAAGAACUUUGAAAAGAGAGUUAAACAGUACGUGAAAUUGUCAAAAGGGAAGCGUUUGACACCAGUGUUGUUUUUCUGAAAAUCAAUUAAAGAACUGUUUAUGCUAAGCUGUUUAGACUUUAUCAGCUAAUCUGUUUAGUUUUGAGCUUUUCUUAAUGCACUUUUCAGUUAACAAGUCAACAUCAAUUUCUUUUGCUGUAAAAAAGCUUGAGGAAGGUGGCUUGAGAUUCGUCUUAAGUGUUUAUAGCCUCUUGCCUAUGCAGUCGGAGAGAUUGAGGUCUGCAGCGUAGAUCCUUCGGGGCUAAAUGCAUUUGUGCUAAGUUAUAGCAUUUUAUAGACAACUUGUUGACUAUGAUUUGUCUUGUAGCUUACUCGCUUAUGUUAUUUUACCUACGCUUAGGAUGUUGAGCGCAUGUCUCUCUCU